This 245-nucleotide ribosomal RNA is filed under the name uncultured Luteolibacter sp. RNAcentral's name for it is "partial 16S ribosomal RNA". It matches the Rfam family "Bacterial small subunit ribosomal RNA", at positions 524 to 768 of the family's 1533-position model. The record is from RNAcentral. Lineage: Bacteria; Pseudomonadati; Verrucomicrobiota; Verrucomicrobiia; Verrucomicrobiales; Verrucomicrobiaceae.
UACGAAGGUCCCGAGCGUUGUUCGGAAUCACUGGGCGUAAAGGGAGCGUAGGCUGCGCGGUAAGUCAGAUGUGAAAUCCCGGGGCUCAACCCCGGAACUGCAUCCGAUACUGCCGUGCUAGAGGAUUGGAGAGGUAGCUGGAAUUCUUGGUGUAGCAGUGAAAUGCGUGGAUAUCAAGAGGAACACUCGUGGCGAAAGCGAGCUACUGGACAACUCCUGACGCUGAGGCUCGAAGGCCAGGGUAG